This 762-nucleotide long non-coding RNA is filed under the name Rattus norvegicus (Norway rat). Its description in RNAcentral is "long non-coding RNA NONRATT010894". Lineage: Eukaryota; Metazoa; Chordata; Mammalia; Rodentia; Muridae. The record is from RNAcentral.
AGACACACCAGAAGAGGGCAUCACAUUACAGAUGGUUGUGAGUCACCAUGUGGUUUCUGGGAUUUGAACUCAGGACCUCUGGAAGAGCAGUCAGUGCUCUUAACCGCUGAGCCAUCUCUCCAGCCCAACUGGCUGCUUUUUUUUAGAGGACCCACUUUUGAUUCCCAGCACCCACAUAGUGGCUCACAGCCAUCUGUGACUCUAGCUCCCAGGGAAUCCAACACCUUUUUCUGGCCCAUGUGGGGACAAGGCACGUAGACAUACCUACAGACAAAAAACAACAAGUAGAUAUUAUAAUAAAAAAUACAAAUGUAAAAUAAAGCAAUAAAAAGAAAUUAUUAGCGUAUUAGGAAUCUAGUCGUUUGUUGAGUGAGUGCUCCUUUGAACAUAGGUAAUCACAUGGAUCCAGCACCUGAUCCCCAAGAUUGAGGACGGAAAUGAUUUUGGGGUGGCAAUUCAGGUAAGAACUGGUGACUGGAGACAGACUGGGAAGAGACUUGAGAGGGAGGGAGGGAAACAAGGCGAUAACCAGGAGGUAGGAGAAAGAAACCACAAAGGGGAGAUGAAGUAUUGUCUUUGCUUCUCACGUCACUGCAGGAGAAGGUGCUGGAGAGAGUGAAUGCUGUCAAGACCAAAGUGGAAGCCUUCCAGACAGCCAUCUCCAAGUGAGAGCAGCUGCAGGAACACGGGGACCCUGCAGGGCACCCCCUUAGGGUUCUCCAAUCGAGGCCGUUCUUUCAGAAUGAUGGGAGACGGGUGUGG